GAUCUGCUCAGGAUGAACGCUAGCGACAGGCUUAACACAUGCAAGUCGAGGGGCAGCGGGGGUAGCGAUACCCGCCGGCGACCGGCGCACGGGUGAGUAACGCGUAUGCAACUUGCCUAUCAGAGGGGGAUAACCCGGCGAAAGUCGGACUAAUACCGCAUGAAGCAGGGAUCCCGCAUGGGAAUAUUUGCUAAAGAUUCAUCGCUGAUAGAUAGGCAUGCGUUCCAUUAGG
This 232-nucleotide ribosomal RNA is filed under the name uncultured bacterium. RNAcentral describes it as "partial 16S ribosomal RNA". It matches the Rfam family "Bacterial small subunit ribosomal RNA", at positions 15 to 245 of the family's 1533-position model. The record is from RNAcentral.